Long non-coding RNA from Ictalurus punctatus (channel catfish), 2015 nucleotides. The record is from Ensembl. Lineage: Eukaryota; Metazoa; Chordata; Actinopteri; Siluriformes; Ictaluridae.
AAACACAUACAUUUUCCAGUUAAUGAUGCAAAUGAAUCAUGUUUGAGCUCGGCAGUGCAACGUCUGGAAAGCAUCACACCCUCAAUCCUCUAUGGAAUUGGUUUAAGAUAGGGUAGCGUUUUGUUCACUAACGUUUGGACGUUCUCAACUGAACUCCCUGUAUAGAAUUAUAAUGUUUUCAAGUGGACAUGAAAAAGUAAAAUAUAAAAUCUGUUUUACUAUUAACUUAAUGCUUGUUGGUCACUAGGGGUGUAACAAUCGGACAAUUUGGAUCGAUGUACCUACUUAAAAGGCAACGGUGGAAAUUAACCAAGGCAUGAAUCAUAAAUUGAUCAUCUAUCCGUUAUAACGGACUACAAAUGAGAACUGUUAUGUAAUAAUAAUCGAGAUUUUUUUGUAAACUGAUGUGUAAACUAUUUAAUAGGUUAGCAAGGGGAUUUGCCUGUAACUCUGAUACAUACAAUAGUCCUUCUCUACAUCAUAAUCAUUUGCAAAUUUACAGUAGGCCCAUCCCAUAUACUGAACGAAGUUGGACACAUAUUGAUAAGAGGCUACUAAAUCCAAUCGCAUCACAUCAGAUCAGAUCAAAGCAGAUUCAGUAGUAUUGUCCAAUAUCGAAUCAUUGCCUUAAGAAUCAAAAUGUUUUGUAUCAUGUAGAAGCCUGAGGCUUGCGAUCACUCUACACAUCACAGCUUCUCUAUUCCACACCAUGAUCACCAAAUUUUGGUGCCCCCCCCCCCCAUGUUCCAUCACACUUCAGCUGAUAAGAGAAAUUAGCAAAAGCACGGAGCACCCAGCACUUGGACUGAGAACUACAGUUAUACAUACUACAGUAAUUUCAAGCGGAAAGUCCAGCUUUUGUGGGGGGCUUAAUAACUUUAUUGAGUUUCAUACUCGGUUCAGUCAAAUGUAUUGGCCAAACAUCAACCAUUUAUAUAUUAUAUAUAUUUAUUUUUUUUUCCAUAUAAAGUGGGAAUGUAUCAAGUAUAGACUAUGAAAGUGCAAAUAACAUUUCAAGGAUUAGUCACUUAACAAUAUAAAUGUUUCAAAAUGGGUUACAAAAUGUGCUUGCCUUUUUUUCCCCCCCUCUCCAAUUGCCUACAUUGACACUCAAAUCUCCUUUCUUUUUUUCCUCCAAGAAAAUAGAACUUGUGUAUUUUGAUUUAAAUGCACAGCAUACCAUCACAAAGGACGCAUCACUUCAUGUCUAAACAGAUGGAAAGAACCUACCGAGUGCUUCACUAUGUUAGCUCCAUCACUUUGGCAACAUACAUUACUGCUUACUGAAGAAAUACUGCAGGUUACUCAGUUGAUUCUAUUUAGGUAUGAAAAGAAAAAGAAAGACCCUUUCAAAUCAUUUGUACUUACUACAAGUAUACAAACUACAUGAGACGACGUCACAUGUAAAGUACAGUAUUUCAACCAUCACCGACUAGGACAGGUUCUCCCCCCCACCACAAUGGACUUAUGGAUUUUGGUUGAUAUUACAGCACUUUUUCUUCAGUAAGGCAAAACUGCACCUUUAAAAUUUGGGGAUUUCUUUUAAAUUAAGUGCGGAUUUUCCACUUCCAAAACAUUAUCAAUGAAUGCGGCUAUUCAGGAUUAAUAAAACAAUAGCUUAGAUUGAGAAUUUGGCCAGGGGGGUUUCUAGAAAUAUAUGCCCAUACCAAAAAAGCUUGCUGUUUGUUUGUUUAAAAGGGUAUUAACAAAAAGAAAUCACCUCAGUAGUAACAAUUAAUUAGUUUAAAGCGCAUUAUUUAAAAAGUGGCACUGUAAAAGGACUGGGUUUUUUUGUUGUUGUUGUUGUUUGUUUGACACAUGGACAAAAGACAUUGGUUUUCAUUCAUUUGUUGUACAUUAUCCAUUAUUUUUUUUAUGAAAAACAUUCAAUUUCAAAUAAAUAGAAAAUCAAUUUCACAAUAUAUUAGGUCUGGCGCUUUACAUUAUGGAUGAAGCACAAUGGCAUCACAUACUGUACACACAUCAUCUCGAACACUCAACUCAUUUUAUCACCA